This 243-nucleotide ribosomal RNA is filed under the name uncultured bacterium. Its description in RNAcentral is "partial 16S ribosomal RNA". It matches the Rfam family "Bacterial small subunit ribosomal RNA", at positions 15 to 244 of the family's 1533-position model. The record is from RNAcentral.
GAUCAUGGCUCAGGAUGAACGCUAGCUACAGGCUUAACACAUGCAAGUCGAGGGGAAACGACAUCGAAAGCUUGCUUUGAUGGGCGUCGACCGGCGCACGGGUGAGUAACGCGUAUCCAACCUGCCCACCACUUGGGGAUAACCUUGCGAAAGUAAGACUAAUACCCAAUGACAUCCCACGAAGACAUCUGAAUAGGGAUUAAAGAAUUUAUCGGUGAUAGGAGUGGGGAUGCGUCUGAUUAG